This 492-nucleotide ribosomal RNA is filed under the name uncultured bacterium. RNAcentral's name for it is "partial 16S ribosomal RNA". It matches the Rfam family "Bacterial small subunit ribosomal RNA", at positions 29 to 507 of the family's 1533-position model. The record is from RNAcentral.
AGUGAACGCUGGCGGUAGGCCUAACACAUGCAAGUCGAACGGCAGCACAGUAAGAGCUUGCUCGUACGGGUGGCGAGUGGCGGACGGGUGAGGAAUACAGCGGAAUCUACUUUUUCGUGGGGGAUUACGUAGGGAAACUUACGCUACUACGGCAUACGACCUACGGGUGAAAGCAGGGGAUCUUCGGACCUUGCGCGAUUGAAUGAGCCGAUGUCGGCUUAGCUAGUUGGCGGGGUAAAGGCCCACCAAGGCGACGAUCCGUAGCUGGUCUGAGAGGAUGAUCAGCCACACUGGAACUGAGACACGGUCCAGACUCCUACGGGAGGCAGCAGUGGGGAAUAUUGGACAAAGGGCGCAAGCCUGAUCCAGCCAUACCGCGUGGGUGAAGAAGGCCUUCGGGUUGUAAAGCCCUUUUGUUGGGAAAGAAAAGCAGCAGGUUAAUACCCCGCUGUUCUGACGGUACCCAAAGAAUAAGCACCGGCUAACUUCGUG